This 1471-nucleotide ribosomal RNA is filed under the name Vibrio parahaemolyticus. RNAcentral describes it as "partial 23S ribosomal RNA". It matches the Rfam family "Bacterial large subunit ribosomal RNA", at positions 1 to 1531 of the family's 2925-position model. Lineage: Bacteria; Pseudomonadati; Pseudomonadota; Gammaproteobacteria; Vibrionales; Vibrionaceae. The record is from RNAcentral.
GGUUAAGUGACUAAGCGUACACGGUGGAUGCCUUGGCAGUCAGAGGCGAUGAAAGACGUAGUAACUUGCGAUAAGCCCAGAUUAGGUAGUAACAACCAUUUGAGUCUGGGAUUUCUGAAUGGGGAAACCCACGUGCAUAAGCACGUAUCCUUACCUGAAUACAUAGGGUAAGGAGGCGAACCGGGGGAACUGAAACAUCUAAGUACCCCGAGGAAAAGAAAUCAACCGAGAUUCCGAAAGUAGCGGCGAGCGAAAUUGGACUAGCCCUUAAGCUUUACACGCGUUAGACGAACGGUCUGGAAAGUCCGACGAUACAGGGUGAUAGUCCCGUAGUUGACGACGUGUGUUCAGUGAAAUCGAGUAGGGCGGGACACGUGAUAUCCUGUCUGAAUAUGGGGGGACCAUCCUCCAAGGCUAAAUACUACUGACUGACCGAUAGUGAACCAGUACCGUGAGGGAAAGGCGAAAAGAACCCCUGUGAGGGGAGUGAAAUAGAACCUGAAACCGUGUACGUACAAGCAGUAGGAGCAGGCUUUGUCCUGUGACUGCGUACCUUUUGUAUAAUGGGUCAGCGACUUAUAUUCAGUGGCAAGGUUAACCAUCUAGGGGAGCCGUAGGGAAACCGAGUCUUAACUGGGCGUUCAGUCUCUGGAUAUAGACCCGAAACCAGGUGAUCUAGCCAUGGGCAGGUUGAAGGUUGAGUAACAUCAACUGGAGGACCGAACCGACUAAUGUUGAAAAAUUAGCGGAUGACUUGUGGCUAGGGGUGAAAGGCCAAUCAAACCUGGAGAUAGCUGGUUCUCCCCGAAAGCUAUUUAGGUAGCGCCUCGGACGAAUACUACUGGGGGUAGAGCACUGUUAAGGCUAGGGGGUCAUCCCGACUUACCAACCCUUUGCAAACUCCGAAUACCAGUAAGUACUAUCCGGGAGACACACGGCGGGUGCUAACGUCCGUCGUGGAGAGGGAAACAACCCAGACCGCCAGCUAAGGUCCCAAAUUACUACUAAGUGGGAAACGAUGUGGGAAGGCUCAGACAGCCAGGAUGUUGGCUUAGAAGCAGCCAUCAUUUAAAGAAAGCGUAAUAGCUCACUGGUCGAGUCGGCCUGCGCGGAAGAUGUAACGGGGCUAAGUAGUAAACCGAAGCUGCGGCAAUAUACUUUUGUAUAUUGGGUAGGGGAGCGUUCUGUAAGCGGUUGAAGGUGUGUGGUAACGCAUGCUGGACGUAUCAGAAGUGCGAAUGCUGACAUGAGUAACGAUAAAGGGGGUGAAAAACCUCCUCGCCGGAAGACCAAGGGUUCCUGUCCAACGUUAAUCGGGGCAGGGUAAGUCGACCCCUAAGGCGAGGCCGAAAGGCGUAGUCGAUGGGAAACGGGUUAAUAUUCCCGUACUUCUUACAAUUGCGAUGGGGGGACGGAGAAGGCUAGGUGGGCCUGGCGACGGUUGUCCAGGUUCAAGUGCGUAGGCUUAAGA